This 3651-nucleotide long non-coding RNA is filed under the name Limulus polyphemus (Atlantic horseshoe crab). RNAcentral describes it as "uncharacterized LOC111087486". The record is from RNAcentral. Lineage: Eukaryota; Metazoa; Arthropoda; Merostomata; Xiphosura; Limulidae.
UUUAGUAGGUAGUGUGAUGCCACCGAAAACUGACCGCGUAUGGGAAGACUAUGUAACAUACUUUUCUGACCCAAAAUAUUCAUACAGACAUAUCGUAAACAUGUGUCCAGAUAAAGGAUUUUGAAUUUACAAGACAAUAUUAUCUCUUGCAUUUAAUCGUACUGGAAAACAAAGGAAUAUGGAUCAAAUCGGAGUACCGGAACCAUCUAGGAAAAGACCUGCAACAAGUCGUACACCACCCAUGAUAAGCAAAGUGCAGCGUCUUAUACAGACAAAGAGCUACCGAUCAGAACACUGGACGCAACACCUAUGGAUUUGUAUGUGAACGGACUGUUGAAACAGGCGCAGGAAAACCGUCGUCCUCAUACAUUGUAUGGAUUAUGAAAAGCACGCAGAAAUUAAUGGUGUGCCUGGACAUGAUAGCUUUUUACAAUAGAAACUACACAACAGGACUGUUGUCAAGAUGCAUGGUCGUCAGAUGGAGCAUGACCGGCGUAGCGACAUGAGUUGAAACGACGAAAUCGCAUUGAACCUCAGUAUAUGAUGCUGCUUAGCCGCGCAAUCGAAACAUUUGAUAUCUUCAGAUAUCAGUCGUUUAAGAUUAAGAAAUACGAUAUUUUUUAGAAGUCCAACUUAUCUAAGCAUAAUGUCUACGGGAAUAUGUAUAUAAUCUAAGUAUAAUGUCUACGGGGAUAUGUAUAUAAUCUAAGUAUAAUGUCUACGGGGAUAUGUAUAUAAUCUAAGUAUAAUGUCUACGGGGAUAUGUAUAUAAUCUAAGUAUAAUGUCUACGGGGAUAUGUAUAUAAUCUAAGUAUAAUGUCUACGGGGAUAUGUAUAUAAAGAAGAUGGUGGUCAAAUUCAAGGUUACAUGAUAAAAACUUGAAUUAGAGUAAUUAAUACUACCUGAAACAAUAACUAUAAAUGCUUUUAAAUAAGAACAUGCAAAGUCUAUGCUUCUGAAAUGAAAUUCAUUAAUAAGAAACUAACAAAAAUUAUAUUACAUUAAAGUUAAAAAUAAAUAGUAUUUCAUUAUCAGGAUUUCCUGGAUGAUUAUUUUCUCUCUUAUUAUAAUUAUUUGUAAGAAACGAGAGCAGCUGAACUGUGAGGUAAACGAAAAGGAUAUGUUUGAUAGAAUUAUCAUGACCAGCGACCUUAUAAACAAACAUAUUUUUUUCUGGUAAGCUUGUUGUUAAGCGCAGAUCUUCCUUUCGUAAGUAUCGAAACCUGAUGUUAAGCCCUCAGACGUACCGCUGAGCCAUCGAUGAAGGGGGAGACUGAAUCCUCAGGUAAACGUCGAAAAAGAAAACAUUUUGCCACGUGCGUGUGUUUGUAUGGCAGUUAUGGCGAUGACUUGCUUUAACACUUCACAUAACGAUGAUCAGUAGAGUUAUCAAAUCUAUUUAUCUGUUACUUUAUCAGUGCUUGAGAGAGGAGGGCAGACGAAGCAGACCGAAAUCAACGAAGUCAUAGAUCAGUGAGGCCAAGAAACGUAUAGAGAAAGUACAUGUCCGCUGGAAAACACCAGUAUUGAGUAUUGACACUGAGUUAAACACAAUCGAAAUUGGUAGCAGGAUGUAGAGGGAAAGGUAAGGACUGGUAAACACGGCCAAAAUCAUGGAAUGGCCAAACGAGCAAAGAUCGACACUGAUAAAAGAAACGCACUCUAUAUAAUAAUAAAGGGUUUCGUUUAGUUUUAUAGAGUUAAUUACAUUAUUUCUCCUCUUUAUUCCAUUUCACUCUCCCCCCCCUUUACAGGAGUAAAAAUAGUUAUACGCCAUCUGUUAAACCUAUAUUCACAUUUACCUACUCCUUAAAUUAAGAAACAAGGUUUCUUAUCUUCUUUAUUCAGUUUAUGUUUUUAUCACUUUUCUGGGGAUUUCUGAAAUGACUAGCAACAUAGAUGCAAGGUUUUUUUUAUUCCCCAAUGGUGUAGUCUGGCAUAAUGGAUGUUGUUGUGAUAAAAGUAUUGUAUAUAACAGAAUCUCGAAAAGCAAAUAAUUUUCAAAAUAAAAAAUAGUUAAUAUUAGAAUUCCAAAGUAUUCUUAAUCUCAAUAUCUGUCACGUGACCUCUCCGAGAUUCAAAAAGUGUAAAUGAAACAUAAUCAGUAACUUUCAGAAGUAUUGAAUAUGAGAAUAGAUAAAAAAUUAUAUUAUAACACUCCAUAACUACAUGCCAGUUAAUAAUGCAUGCUGUAGGGAGCCUCUUAAAAUGUUACUUACAAUUAAUAUGGUAUUUUUAAUGAUUGCUGUAAAAAUAUUCUCAUAUAAAAAAGUUGAAAUGAAAUAUACCAAUUCAAGGACUAGAAACUUUUAUAUUUUAUUUUACUUUUAUAAUGAUAUAAUGCCACUAAACAUUAGGUGUUGGGUUCUGUAAGUUGAAUUUGAAGAAUGGGUGUGAGGGCUGGAGGGGCAUGGAUCAUGAACUGCAUUUGUAUCAGAUUCAAGGGCAUGGUUAUCUUCAUUUUGAAAACUGAUUCAAAAGUGAUCUUUAUGAUCAUUAACUUGGUGUUAGUUUUAUUUGUGUUUAAAAUUGGGUUCGAAAACUUUCAAAAUUUGUAAAUAUGUGAUGCUAAAAUGUGGAUUUUAACUGUGCGUGAAUCAAAGGUGAUGUAGGAUUUUUUAUAUCGGAAAAAAGUAAAAUUACUGUAAAACACGCAGAAAUAUGAUUGAGCUUAAUUACUCUUUGUUGGAAAGAUUAUUUUAGCAAGUUAAUUAGCUAAAUACACGAGUAUAAAACCUAAUCUCCUUCAAAACUUACACAAGUUAUUUAAACAUAUGAUAGAGGAUGACACUUUUCAGUAAACUUACGUGUGACGACAUAGUAAUUGUAGUAUGUUUGAUUGUUUAAAAUACAAAUAAUUUCUGGUCUCGAUCAUACUUAAUCAUACAUUGUUUUCUAUUUGAAUACUAUGUAGAGGUGUUAUAAAACCUGUUGCAUAAGUCUUUCAUAUAUUAAGUACAAAAAUUUAGAAAGUUAGUUGAUAAUAUAUUGAUUUCCAUACUUGUUGUGUAUAUGUUUGACAGUGGGUGCUGCCGACCGGUUGCUUUCCCUCUUUAGUCAACAGUUCCAAAUUAGGGAAGGAGGCAGAUAACUUUAGUAGCUUUGCCAUCAACAGAAAAACACAGUGGACCACCUGGUAAGGUACAACUCUUACAUAGGUGACCUGGUGAGAUUUCCGAAUAGCAUUUAGACUGCUAAAAAGGAAAUGAUGGUACAGAGGUCACAGUGGUGAACUGGAAGAUUAUAGGGUUGUUUGUUUGUUUUGUUGAAUUUCUCGCAAAGCUACUCAAGGGCUAUCACCGCUAGCUGUCCCUAAUUUUGAAAUGAUUGACUAUAGGAAAGGCAAUUUUACAAUGCUCUUAGCCAGAUCUUAGACUACUUUGUACCAACGAAUAGCGGGAUUCACUAUCACAUUAUAGCGCCCCCACGGUUGAAAAGGCGAUCAAGUAGGGAACGGGUUUUGAUCUCGCGACCCGCAGAUUGCGAGUCUAGCGCCCUAACCACCAAGCUGAGAUUGUAGGAAAGAGAGUGGAAGUAGGAAAGUGGAAUGAACCCUAAACUCUAUAGAAGAACAACUGAAUUGGAUUUAGUAACUAGAUUGUUGGAGGGAAGAGGGUUUGUGUCAAACCUCUGAUUGCUUGUUUGUAAUU